Non-coding RNA from Anolis sagrei ordinatus, 595 nucleotides. The record is from RefSeq and is a predicted model, not a curated record. Lineage: Eukaryota; Metazoa; Chordata; Lepidosauria; Squamata; Anolidae.
UAUCCCACUGUAAUUGCAGUCUGCCUCCUGCUGUUAUCCUACAGUAAUUGUGAUCAAUCUACCUUGUGUGACAUGAUCCUAUGUCUGGCCUUAUUCCAUAAUUAGGAAUACCUUAGGUAGCAAAUACUGAAGAAUAUAUAGUAAAGGAAUUAUUGCAUUUUUUUUUACCCUUAAAGAGUUUAAGAAUUGAGCUUGAUAGCAGAAUGAACUCAGCAGUUUAUUUCAGAAGACAGUGCCAGGUGGACUCUGGCUAGAAGACCAAGAUUGCACACAGAACAAGCAAUUACACAAACUUUAUAUAGGAUUCUUACAAAAAUGUGCAGUGGCAGCAAAUGGGCAACAAAAAGCCCAUGACAAACUCACCGAUAAAGAAGAGAUCACUGGCAAGGUGCUGGAGAUACAACUAAAUUCAUGCCAUAUAAAUUGGUCCACAUCCCCGUGGGGCAGUAAAGGGUCCAGUGAACUACUAGUACUCAAGAUUCAACUGUUGGCCUGGUCACCUUCAGUAUAUGACAUAGAAGGGUCAACAUCCUGCUCUGAAUUUGCCUGCUAACAGUGUUUUUAUUGGUUCUGCCAAUAAAUUUUAUACACCCUA